Molecule: unclassified non-coding RNA, 240 nt
Filed under: soil metagenome
Description: partial contains 5.8S ribosomal RNA, internal transcribed spacer 2, and large subunit ribosomal RNA
Source: RNAcentral
AAGACUAUAGACCUGCGGAGUACCUGCGGAAGGAUCAUUAAAUAAUGAUGGUUUAGUUCUUUUUCUUACGAAAAGGCUAAGCUUUAUCUUUUUACUGUGAAAUGUUUUUUAUUUUUGACCCUGGGUGGUUGACGCAAGUCUUCUGCCCAAGAGUGUUGCCAUACAGACAGUGCUGCCCCUAUUUCGUUCAUAGAGCUGUCAUAAUGGAUGCUUUUAUUAUGCAAAUAAUAAAUUCACUCU